AUAUGUUAUAAAGAUGACAUAAAUGGAAUUUUGAAUAAUGAAACAUUAGAAGAAGCGACAUUAGAAAUAAUAAAGCAUUUUUGAAGAUUGAAAUUUAUAAAACAUAAAAAAGUGGAGGAAAUCGCCGGACUUCCGCCCUUCACUGGGGAUGGAGGGCGGGGCAUGUCGGAGUCGAACCGACUAAAACCUCCUGUCGCUCAAAAACCAGCAUCCAAACCUCGCAUGAGGCAGAGCUCAUAAAAAGGCAAAGGGGGGAAAGUGAAGCGUUUAGUGUGGAACACAUCUCUCCCAUCACCCUCCCCCUCGGGACGCCGGACUGGCGGUCGUCGGCGCCACGACCACCAGACCUCUCGUUUUACUAGGCUAAACUUUAUUUUGAUGUAAAUAAAAUAAUACAUUAUACCUAACUAUAAAAAACUUUGAAAAGUCUACAAUUGCUUGAGUUGACUACUGGUGAUUGAUUACUGGUGGUAGGACCUCUUGUGAGUCCGCACGGGUAGGUACCACCGCCCUGCCUAUUUCUGCCGUGAAGCAGUAAUACGUUUCGGUUUGAAGGGUAGGGCAGCCGUUGUAACUAUACUGAGAUCUUAGAACUUAUAUCUCAAGGUGGGUGACGCAUUUACGUUGUAAAUGUCUAUGGGCUCCAGUAACCACUUAACACCAGGUGGGCUGUGAGCUCGUCCACACAUCUAAGCAAUAAAAAUAAAAUAAAUAAAAAGUUGAGUCAACGAAUGUCUUCGAAUGAACACUUAAAAUUCUGAAUAUGUAUGAUCAAAGUAAUUAGACAAACCUUUCAAAUAUUUAACCAAAUUUUUUAUUUAACGUGUUUUAAUUUAAAAACGCUACUACAUAUUAAAUUUACUCUGAACA
This is a long non-coding RNA of Bombyx mori (domestic silkworm), 870 nucleotides long. RefSeq lists it as uncharacterized. The transcript has 2 exons. NCBI's taxonomy places the organism in Eukaryota, Metazoa, Arthropoda, Insecta, Lepidoptera, Bombycidae. The record is from RefSeq and is a predicted model, not a curated record.